AGUUCCCGUACGAUCACCGGUUAAGCCACGUCGAGCCUGGUUAGUAGAUAGAUGGGCAACCGCUUGGGAAUACCAGGUGCUGUAAG
Non-coding RNA from Acanthosepion pharaonis, 86 nucleotides. NCBI's taxonomy places the organism in Eukaryota, Metazoa, Mollusca, Cephalopoda, Sepiida, Sepiidae. The record is from the annotation of a GenBank genome assembly.